Molecule: long non-coding RNA, 1392 nt
Organism: Oreochromis niloticus (Nile tilapia)
Lineage: Eukaryota; Metazoa; Chordata; Actinopteri; Cichliformes; Cichlidae
Exons: 2
Source: RefSeq, a predicted model, not a curated record
GCACUAAAGCACUUUCUGGAUGAAUGCAAACUGCAUUUCGUUGCCUUGUGUGAGCAAUGGCAAUAAAGUUGAAUUCUAUACUAUUCUAUUCUUUGUUGUGGUUGAUAUUGAGUGUAUUUUUCCUUUUUUGCAUGCUUUUACUGUAUUUAUUGCGACGUCCUCCGGAGAGACUCCUCCCCCCUGCUUUCCCUAACUAAUUAGAUAACCUGGAGGGCACAGGGGACAGCAAUCAAUCAGGCCUCCUUUGUUGGCAGCGAGAGGCCAAAAAGAGGGCCUGUCAGGUCGGAAAAGGGGACGUGGCCGGACGGAGGGCAGGAGGAGAGAGCCAUUGAGUAGCGUGGCGGCAGGCGCAGCCAAAGGCAGGGAGAGCCAUGGAGCGCCAAUUGGCGGCAGGGCGCGGCCGCAGGAGAAGAGAGCGGGCCCUUGCAGAAGCGGGAGCGGGGUGGCCCGACGAAGGACGCUGGCGGCCUGGCCCUACUGGUGGACACAAGAAGUGUGGCGGAUUCCGAUUUGGACCCUUGGGACUUUGGCUCGCUGACUGAGGAACACUUUUUUUUUUUCUUUUUUUUUUAAAAUUGUGCUGAGUUUUACGUUGUUUCGAUUAUUCUCUUCCCUGAUCAGAGUAUUUUUUAAUGCUGUAAGUAAAGUGUAUUUUUAUUGACUAUUUUAACCGGGUUUACACAUCUUUCUGUUCCCGUGAUCAUCCCCUGCUCUAUUUCCGUUUUAGUUCCCUUCUAGUAUACAUCCGUGACAUGCAUAUGUGCUUUCCUCUAUAAAAUACUUUACUCUCUGAUCUGGCCUGAAAAGUUUCUUAAUUGUAAGAAUUUUUAGAAGGCUGAAAAGGAACCUCAAGGAGGGGCUUCUCAUAACGACUUGAAUUACACUAUGCUCUGAUGUGCACAAAAUAAAAAGUGAUGGAAUGAUACCACAGACAUUAUAACAGAGUUAAUGACACUUUAUAGAUUCAUUUGUAAUGGGACGCUGGUUGAAGUUACGGUAAAAAUCCUUCAACUUUAAUUAUUAAGAAAUGAAAAUGUCAUUUGUAAAUGACCAGAAGCAUCUAAUAACUGUUGCUCUCAGCCUGGGGAACAUAAAAAUAACAUUUGCUCCACACUACUCUCCAACUGUCUAGGAGAGUUUUUCUCUCCUCCACCCAGCUGUUCAAAGUUUUAUAUGAUGUUGGGAUUUAUUUUUUAUUUUAAGGCCAAUAUCUCAUAAUUGGCAUCACAUAUGUGUUUUAUACUUUUCUGAUUAGAUCUGUGUCCUCGUUUGUUUUGUAGUCUUGCUGCUUGACUUAUCAGAAACUUUUCACAGGUGAAUAUCUAAACUGCGCAGAGGAACAUUUAUUUCUAAAUUCCAAGCUAGCUAACUUGUCUAGUGGAAGUGCAUUUU